GACGAACGCUGGCGGCGUGCUUAACACAUGCAAGUCGAACGAUGAAGAAGAGAAACGCGAACUUCGGUUCAAAUUUCACUUCGGAUUAGUGGCAGACGGGUGAGUAACGCGUGAGCAACCUACCUCUUACAAAGGGAUAGCCUCGGGAAACCGUGAUUAAUACCAUAUGACACAUUCAUAAGGCAUCUUAAGAAUGUUAAAGCUACGGCGGUAAGAGAUGGGCUCGCGUCCCAUUAGCUAGUUGGUGAGGUUACGGCCCACCAAGGCGACGAUGGGUAACCGGCCUGAGAGGGUGAACGGUCACAUUGGAACUGAGACACGGUCCAAACUCCUACGGGAGGCAGCAGUGGGGAAUAUUGCACAAUGGAGGGAACUCUGAUGCAGCGACGCCGCGUGAGCGAUGAAGGAAUUCGUUUCGUAAAGCUCUGUUCUAUGGGAAGAAAAGGACUGUACCAUAGGAGAAAGCCCCGGCUAAAUACGUG
This 482-nucleotide ribosomal RNA is filed under the name uncultured bacterium. Its description in RNAcentral is "partial 16S ribosomal RNA". It matches the Rfam family "Bacterial small subunit ribosomal RNA", at positions 28 to 507 of the family's 1533-position model. The record is from RNAcentral.